This 140-nucleotide transfer-messenger RNA is filed under the name Deltaproteobacteria bacterium. RNAcentral's name for it is "partial transfer-messenger RNA". It matches the Rfam family "transfer-messenger RNA", at positions 1 to 148 of the family's 374-position model. Rfam says of the family: Bacterial tmRNA, also known as 10Sa RNA or SsrA, is named for its dual tRNA and mRNA-like properties. Its role is to liberate the mRNA from a stalled ribosome. To accomplish this part of the tmRNA is used as a reading frame that ends in a translation stop signal. The record is from RNAcentral. Lineage: Bacteria; Pseudomonadati; Myxococcota; Myxococcia.
GGGGGUGUCAAGGUUUCGACGGGGGACGGAAACGAAGUGCCGCAUGCCGGAGUGGGCUGGCUCCGUAACAAGCCCAACUUAACUAAACGCAGAUACUGACGUUAGUUACGCACUAGCAGCUUAAAGUUGCUACGUCUUGU